This is a long non-coding RNA of Dromaius novaehollandiae (emu), 16075 nucleotides long. RefSeq lists it as uncharacterized. Lineage: Eukaryota; Metazoa; Chordata; Aves; Casuariiformes; Dromaiidae. The record is from RefSeq and is a predicted model, not a curated record. The transcript has 2 exons.
GUUUUUCUGCCUUCCCUUAUUUGGGAUUUUUCAUCCAGUACUGGGCUGUGCUACAUCAAGACUGACACUCUUCCCCUAGAUCUACGCACAUUAGGAGACAGUGGGUAUAUACUAUAUAGAGUGGAGAGUACAUGCAUUUACCUGGCUACUCAACUGUUAGAGAACGAGACUGGAGUGUUCUGUGAAUAAGAGGAACAGAGCUCAAGGAACUGCUGAACAGAGAAUCAACAUGACUGCACUUACCCAGGAGAUGGAAUACUUCGCAAAGGUGGAUCCAGUCCCUAGAGAGCUAGGACUUUUUAAUGCAAUUCUUUUAAGAUAAAACACGUAGGACUUGGUGUGGAAACAAAUAAAUAAAAAAAAAAAAACCCCUUCCUGGCUACUACAUGGAGUAAAAAUAUUUUGCCAAUUUAUGUAAAAAUAAAAAUUGGAAAUCAUUGUGCACAGUUUUCAUAAAAAAACAAUUAAGCUUAUUUUUUAAAAAGCAUUUUAAGUCUGGCAAUCUUUUCUACUGGAGUAUUGUACAUGAUGUCAUAAAAAGCUUCUAACCAGAAGAGUCACUGUUAUGAGCUAAAAUUUACACUGUGUUUACAUGCAUACUGCUAACCAUCUAGAUUUGAUUAGAUAAAAGUUAAGAUCCUGAUCCUUAAUUCAACAAAUAAGACAUGUCUACAUUUCAAACUACUGGAUAAAUAAUAAAUAAUAUUUCAGUAUUAGAAAAACAAAAAAUAUCAAAAUAAUUUUGAAAUUAAAAUAAGGCAGGGCAGAAUUAUCAGUGUAUAGAAAAACAGGCUCCUGCAUCUCCUUCUCUAGAAGAAAGCAACUUUAGUUAAUAAAUUAAAGGUUGAGACAUAGAUCUUUUAAUUCCCUUUUCAUUUAAAAAAAAACGGAGUACGAGGUAAUUGAUAUCCACAUGAUGCACUUUUGUAUUUUGCUUGCAAACUGUCACAGAUACAAAAUUUCUGAAGCUAUGUUUCUCACUGAAUAUGCAGGUUCCUGCACCUAAUUAGGUCUCUAAAUCUGCGAUAUGAUCAGACGUCCAAAAAAAGGCAGUCUCAUAUUUUAUAAAAACUGCUAAAUAUUUAGGAAAACCUAGACAUUUUCACAUUGUUUUCCAUGCUUCAUUUAAACUGUGAUCAGCAAGACUUAGUCUUUAUAAAUUGCUUGCUGAAAUAGUCAUAAACUGGCUUGGGAAAACUUACCGGUUUUGUUACAAUGAUUAGGAUGCUAUUAUGUUACGUAUACCUCAGAGUCUGGAGCUAUGGCAUUUCUCCAAAAUAGUUCACAGUUCCCAUAGUUAAUAAAGUACUGCAAAAUGGCACUAAAGUGCAUAAAUAUCUGAAUGUUUUGUAGGGCUAAAAGGUGCUGUGUAAGCUUAAACUACUGCUUUGCCAUUAUAUACAAGAUCAUUUUUCUUUGGGGAGGGAGAGGUUAGUUCUGAGAAUGCCACUGAUUCUAAUUUUAAUGGCGGAUUGUCUACCUUUCACCUUUCUAGAAAAUGUAAAUGCCCCCUUUCUGACUCUUCAGUUUGUCCAGAACAGUAAAAAGAGAAAAGAGUACACUCUAAAAAUGCAUUUCAAGAUAACUAGAUAACUUACAAGGAAUAGUGUUUUAAAAAAAAAAAAAAAAAGUACAUGGUACUCCAGAUGAAAAGUGGACAUGCUCUUUGUUAUUAGCUAUGGAUCUUCUGUUCAAAUGAACAUGCUGUUCAUUUUUAUCAAAACAUGAGUACUAAACUACCAUAAAUUAAAUACAUACAGUACAGAACAAUUAAAAUUUUUUGUACAGUAAUUACUUUUACAUUAAAACUCACCAUCUUUCCAGAUAUGUUGAAAAUUAGGACUCUAAACAUGAUUAUUUCAAAGUACCAUUUUUAACAAUCUUGCACAGGCCCGACAAUCAAAAACAUGAAGCUUUGAUUCACAUAGCUUGGCAGGUUUCACAUACUUUGAUAGGUAGGCUACUUUGAAUAUAUAUAUUUUUUUUACUUAUGCUUUUUUUAAAAUCAAAAGACAGUUUGUUUCUUUAAUCUUUACACGAACUGUCUGUGUGCAAUGCCACUGCCAAUGUAUCUCAAAAAAAAAAAAAAAAGUGUCUGGAACGUUGACCAUAGUCCAAGUGUUGUCUACCUCUUAAAAAAAGUAAGAUUCUAGGAAAUCUAAUCUGAGUGCAUUUAAUAAAGGAAUUCAGUCCUAGAAUAAUUUUAAUAUUAAACAGGUACUGUUUCUACCACUGGUGAUUUGAUGCACUCUUCAUGCAGUCUGCUUUUUUCUGGGAGGUUUAGCGAAUUCUCAGCAGGGUGGUCUUGUAAAUGACUGUCACCAUUCAAAGCUGAAACAAAUCCAUCUUGAGAGGGACCUUUCAAGUAUGAGUGAAAUUCCACUUGAGGAUGGCCUGGCCUAUGUUCAGUGUAUAAACUGUUACAUGGAGCGCUGUUAUCACCUUCAGACGAUGAGCAGCAAACAAUCACUGAGGGAUUUGCAGAAGGGUAAUGAGGGCUGCUAAAAGUUUCCUCUGAUUGCCGCGUGUAGUCAACAAACUGUUCUGAAGUCAUGUUGUAAGGCACCAGAGAAAGACUACCAUUCUUGACAGCAUCUCUUUCUGAGUAAGUCUCACCAAUCUGGUUAGUAGUGCCAGCAACAUGGUUCUCUAUUUGGUAAUACAGAUUUGAAGAGUUAGUAUAGUAUGAGGCAUUUUUAGAGUGGUUUUCAUGCACAGCAGUGCCAUCAGAGUAGCAAAGGACAGUAGGAAGAGGCACCAUGUCAGCAUGGGAGCCCAUGCUUUCCACAAAAUCAUCUGCUUUUUCUUCUUCCUCCUCUUCCUCUUCCUCCUCCUCUUCAUCAUCUUCUGAUUCACUAGGGGCUAAACUUUGUGUGCUAGAAUCUGUAACUCCACUACAAAAGCUACUCCCAUCUUCCUCUUCCUCAUCUUCCCCUGGGCAGUCCAAGUCCUCGGCUGACUGAGAAUGCAUAACUGCAGCCUGCGGUUCAGGUUCAAUCUCAAAAUUCUCUGUGAUUGAAUAUUCAGCUGGAUGGGGUCCUGGACUCAUAGAACUAGUGUGUGCACUUAUCUCACUGUGGCAGCCAUUUAGUGCAGGAACUUGCUGCUCUCUAUUUUUCUCCAAUUCAAGUUUCAUUAUUGUGUGCAAAAAGUGAGUCCGUACACGGAUAGGAUUAAAUUCAAUUCUACCUGCUGUAUUGCUACACCCUUCUUUAGUGCAACCACAUGGAAAAGACAUACGAUCCACCUUUUAGAAAAAGAGAGUACAGAUUAGUAAUACAUAUCAUAAAUCUGGUGUUAUGACAGAACCUAGUCAGCCUAAAGAAACAAAACAGGAGUCACCUGAGAAGUAUUCGUGAGAAUAAUCCAAAAUAACAAUAAUUCAGACAGCUAACCUGGAGUUUAGCAAUACUGCAAAAAAUAGUAAGGCAUGGAUUUACAAUGUUGCAGAAUAGGAAAAAUACUUCAGUUUCACAGCUGUAGGCAUUACAGAGUGGAACAAAGAAUACACAGUUUUUCUAUUUACGGAUCUGCUACAGCUACACUAAAUGUGUUCAAAUCCUGGCAAAAUCACUAGCAGGAAAAAAAAAAUUAUGGAAUUUGAUGAAAAUCAUGGAAAUAAUUAGAAACCUAAUGAAACAUGAAUUAUGUAUAAAAAACUUUGUAAAGCUUCCAAUAGGGCAACACCUGACCACAGAAGAUAGGAAAUGGAAGCUUGAAUACGUGUUAAAAGAUACUUCAGUCAGUUGUAGAUGCAAUGUUGUAAGCUCAACAGACUGUGGGCAGAACUUACGUAUCUAAUAAUACCUAGCUUAAAUAUCUAAAAAUGUGAGUGAAUCCACAAAUCAGGUACUUCAGUCAGAUGACUUAAGGUCUAUGAUUUUUUCAUCUACACUGUGAUACCUAAGCAUAAAAUGUAAUGCAGAGGAGAACCAAAUAAAGCCCAGACACCUGAAGAUGAAAACAAACAGCAAAGAAGGGAACAUUAUUUAGAACAGCAGAGAGAGUUUUGCUUGGGUUUAAGUAAUUAUGAAAAAUGUAUUCAUGGAGAAAUCAACUCAGGUGCUAGCAGCUACUCAAGAGAAUUAGUGGAAGCAUCUUUUAGGGGACAUUCUGGAACAUUUACAGCUGUACAUAGGAGACCAUGUAAAUGUGUGACACAAAAUACCUUUUCAGUUCAGAGAGAAAAACUACAUGACAUAUUAGCAGUUGUACUCUAUUGCUGACAUCUGCAUGUUGGGUAAGGACAGUAUCAUAGGGUUUCAUGCGUUGCUUCUUACUGAGUUUUGAUUAUAAUUCACAUUUGAACAGUAUGUGAACUGUCUCUAGACUAAAAGCUAAUAUCCCUUCUGACAUCUGCAGGUUAUUGAUUCGUCUGUUUUCUCCAUUUGAACAUUUAGAUAAAGGCCAGAGAAGAACAUGAGGAGCACUGUAUUUGUAUGUGAAUGAAAAAAUACCAGAUAAAUGUGUAUAAAUGUGUGCGUCUAAACCAACUGUAAAAUAAAUAAUGGUUUUAAGGAGAUAAUUUGUACUGCACACAAUAUACUCUUAAACUGGGCCUUAAAAAACUAGUUUGAGAUCCACAAGCAUCAUCAUGUAAUAAUUCAUUUAAUGAUUUUCCAUAAUAUGUUUAGUUAUCACUUUAACAACAACAAAAAAUACACACACACACCCCUUGUUAGUUAAAUGACAACAACAAUAUAGAUAUUUACCUGACAUUUUAUGCCUGCAAGACUGCAAGUACAAGUUUCUGGAUCACAGAAUACACGGCAGUCACAGCCACAAUCCUCUCUGGACAAGCGGAUGGCUCGCAACUCGUGUUUCUCUUCCACAUCAAUCUUCUUCACUCCAGAAGCUCGUAGCAGUGCCCUUCGUUUUUUUGUUGGCAGGGGUUGUAGAAAGAAGUACUCAUCUACUUCAGUGUUGUCUAGAUCAAUAUCAUCAUCAGAAAUGUCAUCCAGUGUCAGGGUAUUAGCUUCUUCAGAUUCCACUGUACCAUUCUUUGUCAUCUGUAAUACAGAACAAUUAACAUACAUAAUGUGUAGACUAUACUUACAAAUGUGUGUCAUAUAUGUAAAUACAUGUAAUGAAUUACAACAGUAGAAAGCCAUAUGUAAAAAUCCUGUUACUUGUCAUGCCUUGCUCUAGUCUCCACAACUGUCAGUAAGUUCUAUAAUAUAAUCAUAGAUGGGGAGGUGAAAAGGCAAUUCAUUUUUAGUUUCAGGUUUGUCAUGAAACUGUAUUUCUUAUAAACUCCAAUUUCUUAACUGUUCUUUAUGUCCUUUACCAUAUGCAGUAGUUUGGCAGAUCUCAUGCCUUUAUAAGAUUCUAGCCUUUACAAAAUUUCUGCAUAGGAUGAUUUUUCUGAGCCCUCAAUUGAUUUUAGUUCCUAUUUCUUAGCACUUUGUAAUUCUUCAUUAUCCCUCUUGAGCUUAGUAGUUAUUCUACCAACACUGUUCCAGAUUAGGUUACAUCAGAGAUUUCUAAAAUGGCAUAUUUAUUUUAUGUACUGUUCUCUAUCCUCUUCCUCAUGUAGCCUGACAACGUAUUUGCUAUGUGUACAGCUGAGGUCAAAAAGCAGUAUUUCCACUGAAGUGUUUGCGCAGAUGCCUGUAUCUGCUUAUUAUUUUUGAACCUGUAAGUCACUUAAUAUUACCUACUUUCUACCUCUGUAACUUCAAAUUUAUUUGCAAUAGAUUUCAUGCUGCUUAUGCAUACAGCUUUUCUGAAGUUCUUUACAGUCAUAUUAGGUCCUGAAAAUAACCUAAAUAAUAGCUUUGUGCCAUCAUAUAUUUUAGUACUUCACUAACCAGUCCAGAUUAUUCUUAGAUUGUUAAUGAAUAAACAAAGAAAUAUGGUGUUAACCUGUUGUGGGGGAUCUCGAGAAAAGCUUUUUCCUGCUCAUUUCCUAACAAGAUUAAUUUUUGACCCUCUGUAUAUACGAGUUCCCUAGCACUAUGAGUUCCCUAGACCAUUUCUGAUGUAUAGUUUUCCUCUCAAAUCUUUUUAAAUUUGUUUCAAAAGUAAAUGCCCAUGAGCAUCAAGCACAAAACUCCAAAGGCACUUUCCACUUUCAUAAAUUAGUACACUUCAGUGCCAUGUGUGUCAUAUGUGCUUGUAAACCAUUUCAUAUAGAAAGGCGUGUACAUAUUCAAGAAGAAAAGAAAAAGAUGAAAAAGGCCACAUUCUUUCAUCUACUGUACUGAAGGAAGGGUAACUUUUCUAUCCAUGGUACAGCUAGCUUGCUACACCUGCCAGAUAAUAAAACUAGAGCUUUUAUAAAAGUUCUUCUGAAGAGAAAAUUGAGAAUCAAAAGAAUAGUGAGCGCUAAAAAAAUCUUGAGAGGGAUGGUAACAUUUACUACAUGGAAAUGUAUUUUCUCAAUCUCAAGUUACACACACUGAGCAUGGUACCACAGCAAACAUCUGUAGCAAGUGCAGUUAUGUGACUGUUUUGUCAUGCAAUGAACCCUUAUUCUUUUAGUUCUAUGAAAUCAUUUUGCUGAAAAUGGAAAAUGGAAAAACAAAAAAACAUAUUCCCAAUGUUCACCCUGCACUAAGCAAUGUUUUGAAUUGAGGCUACUGACUUACACUAGCAGAGCACCUGGACCCAUAAUUUUGCGAACAGAAUAUGAUAUAAAUUGUAUUUGUACAGUGGUGAAAUCUCAAGUUUUGUUUGCAUUAAAACACUGUUUCAUCAUGGGCAUCACCAUGAUCUCAGAAAAAUGGCUCUCAGUGAAUGUAAUUUGAUUGUUUCUUACCUAUAGAAAAGUAAGCAUUCAAAUUAAUUUUGUUUGCUUUAUUAAGCUGCAGAAAAUUUUAGCUUGGCCUGUUAUCCCAAAUAGAUUUUCAGACACCCAUUUCACAUAGAGAUACAAUUCUGAAGUCAUAGCUGCCGUUUCCUGGGUUUUAUGCAUUUCACUGUUAGCCAUUUAAAAAUUAUCACUGUGUAGUGAACUCCCUUUUUUUCUGCUACCUAAUCCUGUCACCUCUCCUCCUGAUGCUCCAUCUAGCUAUGUUUACGAGUAAGAAAGCAGUCCUGAAUCUGACCCACCUUACUAUUUCUGCUUUUUUAAUGUUCCCAACUGGGGUAGGUAUUUUAGUUUUCCCAUUUACAUUAACAGUUUGGCCUUUCCACAACCUUCUGGAUUGCAACUGUCAUUUUAUGGCAUAAAUGAAUUAAUCAACAGUGGGCUUCUGUUGACUGUUUACUGUCUUUGUGAUUGCAGUUUUGUGUUUAUAGCAACUGGAUACAGCAAUCACAGAGAAAAAGAGAUGAUUCAGCUACUUCCUUGUUAAGUCAGGUUAAAAGCAAUACCCUUUGAGGAGAAGAGUCCCAGUAUCAUGACUGGUAGUCCUUACAUACUGUGUAAAGACUAUACAUUACACUACAUAAGGAAAAAAAUCUCCUUAGCAUCAGUAAUCAUUCAUUCCUCUUAGCAAUUCAGAACACUGAGUUCAUGCAGAGGUGUUCUGCCAUUUCCACAGCUCCGCGUUACAGGCAUUACUGUGUCCUUCUCUUUCCAGUGUAUUCUCACUCCUUAACUACAGCCUUCGGAGUUCGACGCCCUCAUUCUAUUUCAUGUUUCAUUUUAAUUCCAUGUCUGUUAUCCCUAUAACGUUCAAAUCCCUAUAUGUGCAUAUACUUCCAGUUCUUUCUUCAUCUUAAAUGCAGGCAUUUUCAAAAUGUCCUCUCAAACUACCUUUAUAUUUUUUCCUACUCUGUUUUCUACUAUUUAUCUUUUUUUAUAGGGGCUAGGAAAAGAGGGGUAAGAGCUCCCUAAUCAGUUCUGCUUGACUCUGGCGCAAUGGAGAGAUAAUUUACUCCAGGUACUUCGAUGUAUUAGUUCAGUGAGUUAAGGAGAGAAGCUAACAUUAGAACUCUUCCUCCUUCUGUACAAUCUAUGGUGAGAGACAGGUAAAUCCAUGGAUUGAUUAAAAUCAUCUUGAAUUAACUGCCUGAAGCUAGUGUGUGGGAAUACCCCACUAUACAUGCAACUUAGCCUGAAUGUUCAAAUCCAGAAUGCCAUCUUUUGAACAGAUUUCAGGGGUUUGUUUGUUUUUCCUUUUUUGUUAGUUAGGUACAGCUAAGUACAGUAUAUUUAUGUUUCUUUGCUUUGCUUUUUCAUUCAAUAGGAGAAUGACUUAAGAAUUCUGAGUUCUCCAAAUAAAUAAAUACAGAUGACUCAACCACUUCUUUAGCGGAUCAGUGUUACUUAAUGGCCUAUCAGAAUUUAAAAGUGAAACUGGGAAGGGGGGAACAAUUCUGAUCCAGUCCAUGCUUCUGUAAUAUUUUUUUUAUUAUAUGACUACUUAAUAAAAACUAAGUUUCAGUCCUAGGAGUAGAGGGCUUUCACCUCUGAGGUGAAUGCUGUAACUGCUCAGCUUACAAAGGCACAUACAAAACGAUACCAGACCUGUCGUGUUUUUUUCUUCCCUUCCUGUAAAUCUACACAGCAGUAGAGCAUUAAGGGGUGGAUACCAGUCAGGUGCUGAAUGCUGUAUGCAGCCAUCAGACCAUAAAGCCAAAUAUUAGGGCAUCAAGUGAGAUUAGACAGCAGUUUGCAGUUUCAGAGAACUUUAGCUCAUCCUGAGUCCUUUGCUGCAUUGCUCUGCACUCUUAUUCAUCGACAAAAAAAAGUCUACAAAAUUGUUAUUUGGAAUGGAACACUACACGUUUUUUUAAAUCAAACUGCAUUUUGUUGUGUCCUCUGAUUUUUUUCUCAAAUUUGUCACCCAGAGAACAAACGCUAAUGGUGUCCAUUAUAGAAAAACAAUGUAUAUUCUAGUUUCUCUUUAGAAAUACCACACUGAAAAAAUGACAUUGAGUUGGGAGGCUUCUUGGGGGCUGAGAAUUUUGGGGGUAACCACUAACUAAGAGAGAUUCGUUAUCCAGGGUGGGAAAUAAAAACACACAGAAUUUUUCCAACCUUGCACAAAACAUAGGGACAAGUUGAUCUCAACUAUUUCGACAAGAAAACAGAUUUUACUUCUGUUUUUGCUUUGCAGGAACCAAACCCGAAAAAUUCGGCUCCAGAUGCAAAUUCUGUAAAUGUUCAGAUCUAGGGUUUUAGUUGGAGCCUACUGAUCUUUCCUCAUUUAAUAACCCUUAUUUUUCUGCUUAGCAUAUUCAAUACUUUUAGUUAGGAGCUUGAACGUACUGUCUUAAGAAUGAUAAUAACUCAUAGGUCAUUCAGAUUAUCACCUAAUUAUUGUGUUUAUUUCAAACAGCAAAAGUGGGUAAUUCUAUUUUCUGCUGACACAUAAAUUUCUGCAAAGGUGACAACAUGGUCUGGACUCAAGUCUCUUAUCACAAGCCUGUGUUCAGAGCACUGGGUCAUGCUCUCAGUCGUCAUUUUACUGUUUGAUUUUUUAAUACACUCUCUUUAGGUCAGUACAUCAUAGAUUAAAUAUGGUCAGAAUGAGACUAAGUGAUCAAUCAAAAUAUCAGAUAGUUUGAUUAGCAGCCAACACUUGCUCCUGAUGGACUUCAGUGUACUUCUCCAACAAAAUAGACAGGAUGCAGUCAUGAUCUCUGCAUCAAAUGAUCAGAUGGGGAAAUUAUUUUUUGUUUUUGUGACUGGUUAUUUUUGCCUGGCAGAGGAAACAGCAAAUGACACAACCACAGAUGUAAAGAAAGAAAUUAAAUACUUCAACGAAAGGUUGAGAAAAGUAAGAUUUGAACAUCUCUCAUACAAGUAAUUGAGUAACUACAGAAAGAGGAAGAUUAUCAAGGACCAUCAAAUUACAUUUUCCUACUCAAAACUACAUUAAGUUCUCCUGAUCGUGAUAACAUUGCUUAUCUGAAUUAAACUUUGGCAUAUAGAUGGGUAAAAGUUAACUAAAGGUAACUUUCAUGACGAUCAAUAUGUGAAGUCCUUGGGUGAAAUUCACUUCAGUUCUGUAAAACCUGUAAAAUUUAGGUUAGACACAUAGCACCUUUACCUGCCCCAGCUGGAAAUUAUUCCUUACAAUUUCCUACACUGGAAACCAAAACAAAACAUAGAGUUUUAGUUUCUGCAGUUUUCUCUAGGAAAAUUGAACUCAUUUUCAGUUCAAUUCAUUUUAAUUCUGCCUGUUAGAACUACUGGCUUCUAUUUGUACCAUUCAACUGUAGAAAUUAAAUAGCUCAUGGCUAUGUAUACUAGAGUAGGAUACAGCCUUAAGUUAAAGAUUUGUGCAAGUUCCUAGACAGCACUAGCAAGUAAAAUUUGAAUACUCUGUCCUAAAAUAAAACUAAUUGGCCAAUUAUUGACAGUUCCAUGAUAGACUUGAAUGAAUUAAGUUCAUUCAUAUAUGUCUAAUGCAGAUAGUGUACUGCUACUUUCUUUUCUUGGAAAUUGUUGAGCACACACCUUCAUAUGCACCAUUAUAAUCACACCACUUAGGUUUCCUCAAUAGCUUUUUACCUAGCUUAUAAAGAAACCAAGAAACGGCACAGAGAUUUUCAAAGCAGCUAUUCAAGGGUUUUACCAUUCCUUGCCAUGUGUUCAUGCACGUUCCCUAAUGUCUUAUGGAGAUAAAAAGGCAGGAAAAGGGAUGGAAUCUUUUUAAACACAUCUUUUUUUUUAAAAAAAAAGGAAAAAGACUCCUAGGGUAAUUCUGUUCAGAGGCAAACCCACAUCCUUUUCCAUUUGCAUUUGCCCUGUUUUCAGAAUGAGAAUAAUCUGUGCUGUUUUAUCUAUCAGUCCACAGAUCCAUGAGCCCUACCAUCAUUAGGGUCAUGCUAAUUAUUUUAAUGUAUCUUCAUUUGAGGAAACGUUAUGAGUAAGCAGUAAGGAACAUUCCAGCUAAUUUACUGUGCUUGCUCAUAACGUUUACUCAAAUUGCAGCAUAUUAAAGUAAAGCCUCCCUUGUACCUUUCAUCUUGACAAGAUGGCUUUCAUGCCCAGCUUGCCAUUAGACUUUUCACACUCAGCUGCUAAUAGUGUGUAUGCCACAACCAGCAGUGUUUACACCAAAGUGCUUCUGCUAAAUGGCUAAAGUCACUUGAAGAUGAUUUUAAAGUCUUUCUCUGAUUUUAAUUAAGAGAAGUUUCUUAUUUGGCUCUCUACUUUUAGCAAGUACCUAACAGUACGUAACAGUCUCAAUUCUCUAUAUUACUGUAUACCUGUUUUUUUUUAAACAAAUUCUACAAGAGAUAGUGCCCUCUACCUAUUGACUUGAACAGUUUAAUUCAAUUGAAAAAAUUAACAAACCAGGAAAACCAAGAUUAAAAAAAAAUGCUGAAACUUAUUUCUUUCCUUUUGCAUGUAGAUUUUCAAACAACAAAAAAAACCUUUUCGAACAAACUUUGCCUUACUGCAGUUUCUCCUUUUCUUCAUUUUUCUUUGCAGAUGUACAGUAAUUUGGAUGAAAAUCCCGAUCAGUACAUUUUAAAUAAAGAUCAUAAUCACUGUCAUUAUCACCUUAAAACUCUACAGCCUUUCCUUGUUGUGUUUAUUUAGAAACCAGGCAAAUAGCAAAACAGCUCCUCCAUCUCUGUAACAGGAAAUCACCACGGCCCAAUUCUUAUAAGCAAAUAAAACAUCCUCAGUGCUUUACAGUCAUUCUUCAAUAUAAAUCAAGGAUUCCCACAUAGGUUUUUGGGAGGGAAAGUGUUUCUUUUUUUAUCUCAAAUCAAAACUAUUUCCUAAAGGAAGUGUUCUGUUUCCUACCUCUUUAUAUAUGCUCUAGAGUGGAAAGAAAUAUUUUACUCUACUAAAAGAUUUAACACUAAUUAGAUGCCACAAUUUUUAAGACACUCUCAGGAUUCUGAACGCUUAACCACGAUUUCUUCAUAUCUGAAUUUGAAACUUUGGAGUCUGUUUACUAGUCUCAGAAAGGUUAGUAAACUAUUCCCAUAUCAGCUGCUGAGGAUCGAUGAAGAAAGAAUCUUGGCAACGCUGAAUUAAGUGUAGGGUAAGGAUUUUUCCAUUUGGGAAAAGGAAACAAUUAAGACAGGGAAGAAUGCAAAUCAGGCUUUCAUUAUUCACUCAAUACUUAUGAAGAGAUUUUGCAGAAGUUUAACAUUCAGAGUAGAGAUUAUCAUCCACUUAAGUAUUUAUGGUGCAUGGGAAAAUGUGACAGGGCAGAUGGAAGAAUGCAUUGUGUUUGGAAGAGGAGCCGAAAGUAGAGUCUGUGUUUUAAAAAAGAGUGGGCUGGAGUGAAGUAGUUGAAAGAAGAUCCAUCACAGCCAGGAGAUGAACUACGAAAGCACACAGAGGCAAGCUCUAUACUCAGUAUAGAUGAAAGCUAAGAGGUCUCACCCGGUCUUUAGAAGUAAAUAGGAUUUAUGAUCUUUCAUGAUUAACUUUCUCCCAAUAAAAAGGAAAAAUGAAAUAUUUGCAUGCCUUACUAUUCUUUACUCACUCCACUGGGGAUUCCUCCCUCUCUCCAUUUCAUCCUCUAUCUGUAUUUCUGGGGAAUAUAUGAUCUGAGCUGAGUCCUGGAAGUCUGCCUAGGGAUCUGCACAGAGUCAUUGGUUACACUGACACAGCUCUAUUCACAUACAAUGCUCUGAAGAUCCUGUGAUGCAAGACAUUUAGAGGUAUAAUCUCUCUGUUCAGUGGUUAAAUUAAUAAUACUCAAGCCUUUCGCUUCCAACCUGUACAAAUAUCCGUCUUCAAUUUCCUCUUGUCCUGAGUGAUUUUAUGUUUGUUUUUAUUAUGCCAGUUCAAUUUUUAUAAACUAUUUAAGAAUCUAUUUAGCUAUUCAAAUAAAAAACAAUUAGGAGACUGAAAAAAAUAAUUAGAAUAAUAAGAGUCAUAUGCACUUCUCCAGGAGUUCAGAUAUAGAUCUGUGGGAAAAAUGCUAAGAGGCAUUUCUCAAACUGCGUGGAUACUAGUUUACUUUGGGCAACUGUAGUAGUGUCUGACACAGAAAUAUAAUAUCAUGAAGGGGCUGUGAAGCACAGUAGUUUGGCUACAAUUCAAAAAAUUGUUCAAUUAUAAUUACAGGAUUCACCUGAAAAAAAGUCCAAAAUAUAUGGGGGACAAGCAACUAUACAGGAAAUAUUUCACCCACCAAAAAUAUAACAAAAAUGGAAGUUUUGUCACCAGUUUGAAAAAGACACAAGGGACACUUUCAAGACCAUAAUCUUCUCCUCUAUUCUGCUCUCCUCAGAUGCACAGUUUAUUUUCUCUAUUCUGCUAUAUUUAAAAAGCCCUCUUCAAACCUUUAGUGUGGAUUUAUAUCACUUGGUAUCUCCAGUUCUGACCAACUGAACUGAUAUAGAUGGUUAAUCACCCUUUUGUGAAAUAUUAAACACUCAUGCUGGUAAUAACACGAUACAUGAUCAUAUAAAUUAGUACACUAAAAAAACUAGCAUAACUGUUUCUUACUUUUUGUCAAAUUCGCUUUAGUUAGCCAGGAAAAUAAGCUGUUUCGUAUCCUGUACUUAUUACCACGAUGUUACCAUCUCUUGUCUAAUAAGGGCACUGUGCAAGGUCUCAGAAGACUCAUUCUCUUUCUGGUGCUUCUAGACUUCUGCUGGACACCCUAGUCAAGGCUCAGUUACACUGCCUCUCUGCCUUUGUUUCCUAUCUGUAGAAAACAGGGAAUAAACAACCACCCCCCUGAAAAGCUCUUUGAGGUACACAAUAAAAAUAGCUACAGCAGUACUAAGUAUUAUCAAACAAAAAUUUAUCUUCAGUGAAAUAAAAAAGAAAAAAAAUCAGUAUUUACAUUGAAAAUAGAGUUGACUGCGAGGAAGGGGUUUUGUUUAAAAUGUACAAAUUGGGUCCAUAUGACCCUAACACUGCCCAAUUAAGUGCAGGAGGCAGGGAUCAAAGUCUCCAAGGAAUUUUUACCUUUAAUUUUAGAGAAUUAAGUUUUUCCUCCCUUAGAUGCUCUCUUAACAUUUCUCGGUGAAGCCUCUCCUGUUCCAUUGCAAACUCUCCAAGCGUGUAUUGGCGCACACUGUUGUGGCGAGUGGACAUUCCCAACGUGCUUCCCCCUUGGCUGGGAACACUGGUGAAGCCUUGCCUUCUUGUGAAGUAGUACACAGUAACACAGUUAAAAUGGACAUUUUUUGUUCUCUUCCGCUUCUCUCUCUUCAGGAUUGAAGAAGCUAGAACAGAAGCAGAUUACAUUUAUGAUAACUUGAAGUCAUAUAAGCAAAUACUUUGUCACUUCAGUAGUUUAAUUUGCCUUAACAAUACCUGAUUAUGCUAAAGUUCGGGGGAAUGCACUCCAAAUGAGGAGAUAAGAGCUGAAAUAUUUAUAGUAUAGGCAAACCUAGAAGCUCUUACAAACUGAUACAACCAUGAACAUUAUUGUCUAUUUCAGAACAGAAAUUCUUGGCUAGGACAUUUGGGUUUUCCCACAGCACUUUAAUAAUGUGUUAUCAUUUCACCAAGGCAGCAAAUAAAGCCUAGCAAAAGGAACUUCUUCUAAUGUCUCACCUCAAAGAUAGCGACUGCACCUCUUUGAACGCAGUGAACACAAUGACACUACCUAUGACAGGAGUCCGGAGAACAGUGGACCAAUGUCUCUCACAGAGCUAUAAGCUCUAUUAUUAUUCUGUCAGUAAGGUUACAGCUGCAGAGAUGUAUGGCUAGAUCUUCAUAUCACUGGAUCAUAUUAGAGGAGAAGAUUCCUAUCUUAUAUUCUAAAAUAUGUGCAAUUAGUGUUAGAAAAACUAUAAAGGCAAUAUAUGUAGUGUUUCAGACUGUCUCAGAAAUUCACAGCAUCAUCAUCACGGAAUGAUAAUAUAUGAAUAAUGCUGAUUAAAAAAUCUGAUGGACUUUCUUUUUCUUUCCCUUCAUCCUUAUUUCUGUUGCCAUCCGCUGAAUACGUGUGUGUGUGUAUGUGUGUGUGUGCACACGUACUCGCUAUAAUGUGUAGAGUCUUGAUUAAAAAAAAAAUCUAUUCCUUUCUCUUUUCUAAUACCCCAUACAUUCAUCUCUCUUGCUCAGUUUCUCUUAUACAAAUACACAGUAUCAUAUAAAAUGGAUUUAUUUAAAAAUAAAUGUGUUAUUUUAACUUUUAAAUAUUAUUCUUUUUGUAGGGACAUUUAGUAACUCCUUCCAGUGAUACCGAUAUAUUGUUUCUCGCUGGUAACAAUGGUAAGCCUUUAGAUUAAAAUAAGAGAGACAAACUUUAGAGAAACGUAAGAGACACUCCUUGGUUUUUAAGACGUGCCAGCAGCCUGGUUUAUUUGAUUUAUUGCAAAAUGACAACAGGAUGUUGAGAAAGUAGCUAACAAUCUACAGCUUUGCAGCUUAGAUGCAACACUUGAGCGGGGGUAAAUGAGAGACCUAACCGACAGAAUUCAGGCAGUAAAAUGAUUUUAAAAGUGCCUGACCACUUUUGAAAGAGUUGGAACCAUUUUAUAAAAGCAGUAAGGUACAACAUGAUGUACAGCACUGAUCUAGAAUUGCGCUAUCUCUAGAGACUGGAAGCACUUGGCUUUCAGCCCUGGUUUUGAAACAGGUUUGGUUUAUUGUCAUAGUUAAAAAAUAGUUCAUUCUCAAUAAUAUUAUGUAGCAAAACGAUAAUCAGAAAUGUAGAAAAAAAGUCACUUUUACAUACAGAAAUUCUAUCCAAAAAUUAGUAUGACCUACCUAGCUAUAUGAGAAAAAAGUAUAUUAGAAAAUAUAUUCCUGUAACCAAACUACAGUUGGCAUGCCUCACUAAUGUAAAAAUAUUUUGCAUUCAGUACAACACUGAAAUAAUUAUUACUUUGACUAAGUACUGAUAAACAGCUAAAAUUAUGGUUUGUUAAAUAAAUAAUAUGCACUUCUUCAGAUAUGCUGAAGGUAUGCUAGAUUUCAUAUCAAUAAACAGAGGUCCUAUAUUCAUGGAAAUGUUCUCAGUGAUACAACUGCUUUCCAAAAAGGAUGUAGGAUGUACAUGGAGCAAUGAAAAGAUAGACUCUCUUAUAUUAGAUAUAUCUAAACUUGCGUCCAAGUUUAAGCAAAUCUCAUAUCAAGAGAACCUGUCAAAAAUAUUUAUAGGAAGGUUUUACUGGAGGGAAGAAAAUGUGUCAAUUUUGUAUAAUACUAAAUAUUGAUUUAAUGUACUCUUGUUUUUCAUAUAUGCCGUGUUUUCAAAACAAAAUUGUUACCAUUAAUAAAACCAAGUUUUUAAUAGAA